GAUGAACGCUAGCGGCAGGCCUAAUACAUGCAAGUCGAACGGUCACGCAGCAAUGCGUGAUAGUGGCGCACGGGUGCGUAACACGUAUGCAACCUACCUUAUAGAGGGGGAUAGCCUUUGGAAACGGAGAUUAAUACCCCAUAACACAGUUUUUUGGCAUCGGAGGACUGUUAAAGAUUUAUCGCUAUAAGCUGGGCAUGCGUCCAAUUAGUUAGUUGGCGGGGUAACGGCUCACCAAGACGAUGAUUGGUAGGGGAACUGAGAGGUUAAUCCCCCACACUGGCACUGAGAUACGGGCCAGACUCCUACGGGAGGCAGCAGUAGGGAAUAUUGGGCAAUGGAGGCAACUCUGACCCAGCCAUGCCGCGUGCAGGAAGAAGGCGUUAUGCGUUGUAAACUGCUUUUAUAUAGGAAGAAAGAGUUCUUGCGAGAACAGUUGACGGUACUAUAUGAAUAAGCACCGGCUAACUCCGUGCCAGCAGCCGCGGUAAUACGGAGGGUGCAAGCGUUGUCCGGAUUUAUUGGGUUUAAAGGGUGCGUAGGCGGUUUAUUAAGUCAGUGGUGAAAGACGGUCGCUCAACGAUUGCAGUGCCAUUGAUACUGGUAGACUUGAGUGAGAUUGAGGUAGCUGGAAUGGAUAGUGUAGCGGUGAAAUGCAUAGAUAUUAUCCAGAACACCAAUUGCGUAGGCAAGUUACUAAGUCUCAACUGACGCUGAGGCACGAAAGUGUGGGUAUCAAACAGGAUUAGAUACCCUGGUAGUCCACACUGUAAACGAUGAUAACUAACUGUUGGCUUUUGGGUCAGUGGUACAGAGAAAUCGUUAAGUUAUCCACCUGGGGAGUCCCCGACCGGGCG
Molecule: ribosomal RNA, 857 nt
Filed under: uncultured bacterium
Lineage: Bacteria
Description: bacterial SSU rRNA
Rfam family: Bacterial small subunit ribosomal RNA
Source: RNAcentral